RNAcentral lists this ribosomal RNA (450 nucleotides) under uncultured Glomus. RNAcentral describes it as "SSU rRNA". It matches the Rfam family "Eukaryotic small subunit ribosomal RNA", at positions 569 to 1024 of the family's 1831-position model. The record is from RNAcentral. Lineage: Eukaryota; Fungi; Glomeromycota; Glomeromycetes; Glomerales; Glomeraceae.
AGCAGCCGCGGUAAUUCCAGCUCCAAUAGCGUAUAUUAAAGUUGUUGCAGUUAAAAAGCUCGUAGUUGAAUUUCGGGAUCAGUACGCUGGUCGUGCCUUCGGUAUGAACUGGUGUCACUGGUUCCUCCCUUCUGAAGAACCGUCAUGCCAUUCAGUUGGUGUGGCGGGAAAUCAGGACUGUUACUUUGAAAAAUUAGAGUGUUUAAAGCAGGCUCGCGCUUGAAUACAUUAGCAUGGAAUAAUGAAAUAGGACGUUUGACCCUAUUUUGUUGGUUUCUAGGAUCGACGUAAUGAUUAAUAGGGAUAGUUGGGGGCAUUAGUAUUCAAUUGUCAGAGGUGAAAUUCUUGGAUUUAUUGAAGACUAACUACUGCGAAAGCAUUUGCCAAGGAUGUUUUCAUUAAUCAAGAACGAAAGUUAGGGGAUCGAAGACGAUCAGAUACCGUCGUAGU